This is a ribosomal RNA of Oikopleura dioica, 1816 nucleotides long. It matches the Rfam family "Eukaryotic small subunit ribosomal RNA". The record is from Rfam. NCBI's taxonomy places the organism in Eukaryota, Metazoa, Chordata, Appendicularia, Copelata, Oikopleuridae.
UAUCUGGUUGAUCCUGCCAGUAGUCAUAUGCUUGUCUCAAAGAUUAAGCCAUGCAUGUCUAAGUACGGCUCUAGUACGGUGAAACUGCGAAUGGCUCAUUAAAUCAGUUUUGGUUCAUUUGAUCGUGAAAGUUACAGGGAUAACUGUUGUAAUUCAAGAGCUAAUACACGCUAAGAGUGUCGCUCUCUGGGCGGCGCGCUUUUAUCAGACCAAAACCAAUCACCUUCGGGUGUUCAUUGUGGUGAGUCUGGAUAAACUAGCUGAUCGCAUGGUCUCGAACCGGCGAUGGAUCAUUCAAGUGUCUGACCUAUCAACUGUCGAUGGUAGCGUAUUGGGCUACCAUGGUUGUAACGGGUAACGGAGAAUUAGGGUUUGGUUCCGGAGAGGGAGUCUGAGAAACGGCUACCACAUCUAAGGAAGGCAGCAGGCGCGCAAAUUACCCAUUCCCGACUCGGGGAGGUAGUGACGAAAAAUAACAAUUCAAGACUCUUAACGAGGCCUUGAAGUUGGAAUGAGUACACUUUAAAACUUUUAACGAGUAACUAUUGGAGGGCAAGUCUGGUGCCAGCAGCCGCGGUAAUUCCAGCUCCAAUAGCGUAUACUAAAGUUGUUGCGGUUAAAAAGCUCGUAGUUGGAUCUUGGAAUGUGUUCAAGCGGGUCAGCUUCUGGCUGUUCGCUGCUUGACGUGUUCUUCUAUUUGGUUUUGGUGCGGUGCGCUUAACUGCGUGUCGCUCCCGGCCGAAACGUUUACCUUGAAAAAAUUAGAGUGUUCAAAGCAGACCUGUUUGAGUCUGAAUAUUCGUGCAUGGAAUAAUGAAAUAUGAAUUCGGUUCUAUUUUGUUGGUUUUCGGAACUCGAGUUAAUGAUCAAGAGGGACAGACGGGGGCAUUCGUACUCUGCCGUUAGAGGUGAAAUUCUUGGAUCGGCGGAAGACGCGCAACUGCGAAAGCAUUUGCCAAGAAUGUUUUCUUUAAUCAAGAACGAUAGUCGGAGGUUCGAAGACGAUCAGAUACCGUCCUAGUUUCGACUGUAAACUAUGCCAGCUAACGAUCAGACAGAGUUCUCUACGACUUGUCUGGCAGUUUCCGGGAAACCAAAGCGUUUGGGUUCCGGGGGAAGUAUGGUUGCAAAGCUGAAACUUAAAGGAAUUGACGGAAGGGCACCACCAGGAGUGGAGCCUGCGGCUUAAUUUGACUCAACACGGGGAAACUCACCCGGCCCGGACACAGUGAGGAUUGACAGAUUGAGAGUUCUUUCUUGAUUCUGUGGGUGGUGGUGCAUGGCCGUUCUUAGUUGGUGGAGCGAUUUGUCUGGUUAAUUCCGAUAACGAACGAGACUCUGGCAUGUUAAAUAGUCGCGGAAGUGCGUAUGCACUUGCCGAAUUGACUUCUUAGAGGGACUAGUGAUUUUAAUUCACACGAGAUUGAGCAAUAACAGGUCUGUGAUGCCCUUAGAUGUUCGGGGCCGCACGCGCGCUACAAUGAGUCGAUCAACGUGCGUAUAUUUCCAAGGCCGAAAGGUCGAGGUAAUCCGUUGAACCCGACUCGUGCUAGGGAUAGGGACUUGUAAUUGUUUCCCUUGAACGAGGAAUUCCCAGUAAGCGCAAGUCAUCAGCUUGCGUUGAUUACGUCCCUGCCCUUUGUACACACCGCCCGUCGCUACUACCGAUUGAAUGGUUCAGUGAGAUAAUCGGAUAGGUAACUCGGUAAGCAGCAAUGUUUACCAAGCAUACAUAGAAGACGAUCAAACUCAGUCAUUUAGAGGAAGUAAAAGUCGUAACAAGGUUUCCGUAGGUGAACCUGCGGAAGGAUCAUUA